CCGAUCCGCGGGUACCGGCCGCGGGGUGGCCCCGACCGUGGAGUCCCUCCGGGACGGGCCCGUCCUCCCUCCGUGCGCGGCUCUCGCCGGGCGCAGCGGAGCGAGGCCCGGCCCCGGCUGCCCCGACGGACCCCGCAGCCGUCCUGCGCUCUCCGCCGGGCGCGCCGCACCGGUUCCCUGCGCAGCACGAGCUGUGCCCUGUCGGGAUUAGUCAUCCCGUUCCUAGUAACCGUGAGGCUUGGGAUCACGCAAACGAAAAGGAAAGAGAGGAACAGAGAUGACAAAGAGGAAAAAGCACCCUUGCCUUGGUCCGGAGCGGCUGUUUCUGCGCAGGUUCCGCGCUGGCGCUGGGACGCGGCAAAGAGCGGAGAUGCGGAGCGGCAGAGCCCACCCAGCGCUCGCCAUGGGAGGCUGCGGGCCAGGCCGGCGGGAGCCCCGUUCCCGGCUCUGCCCAAAGCAGGGACACAGAGUUAAUUGUGUCAGUGCUAUUGCACAACACUGUUGCCUUGACACUGUGUCAUGUAAAGAUUUUAAACUGCCUCUUUAUUAGUCAUACUCUAUUCAUUUUAAUUGUGCCUGAUAAGCAGGGCCAUUUCACCUUUGUGUUUUCUGCACAGCUUAUCGUGCGUAUUUAUGUCGCCCAAGAGACUUUCCAUCUCUUCCUGUAGCGUUGGUAGAUGCAGAGGAAUGAGGAGGCAUUGCCAUCACAGCCUGCUGGGGUCCUCACCCGUUUGCUUGCUACCUUUGCAGAUCCCUGCUCUCCCAGGGUGGGCAUCUCCACAGGUCCUGGAGCCUGACACCAAAAAUGCUCUGACAGAGGCUUAGAUUAAUGCAUGGGAACCAGUAAGAAGGGAUAGGCUGAUUGAAACAUGCACCUAAUUUUUUUUUUUCAGUAUCAAGUGCUGUAGGUGUGUACUUAACACCACGGGACUCACUUUGAUCUUCUCCCAGGACAGAAUUUUCUAUGGAUUAAAUUCUUGCCUCUGAAUUGGUUAUUUAACAAAAUCAAAGCUGGGAGAUGAAUAACUAAUUACUGGAUUUAAUGCAAAGAAUACAGUGAAAAUGUAUGGAAUAUUUUAGUCUCACUUACUUGCAACAUAAAAAUAUAAUGCCUGAGACCCGUGUGAACUCUGUCCCUGAAAUUCCUUAUCUAGCCUUAUCUUUGUCAAGUCUGAAGUUUCACUGAAAGUUCCUGGAGAUAGUGCAUUUUCCCUUCUGUGGCAUUUUGACCUUCUCCUCACCUCAAACAUCCCCUGUGUUUGCAGUGGGAGGAGGAAGGGCCCUUUGGCCAGGGACAACACUGCCCACCUGUAGGAGCAGUGCAGGUGACACAGCUGCUUCCCCAGUACCUGGAGCACUGCUGGCACUGCAGGGACUGUUUGCUUAGAGCACACGUCUGCUUCAGGAAGGUUAUCAGAGUCCUUCUCCACCUGGAGAUGGAUCUAUUCACUGGGUUUAUUUAGUUUCACCUUAAUUUUCCCUGUUUAUAAAGUCUAAAAGCUAGAAUUCAAGUUUGAUCCAGAAUCAUCUGAGGAGAUGGGUAAAAUCCCAUUCUCAAUUAAGUUCAGAAGAAGGAACAGAAAUGCCAUUAAAGGCAGAACAAAAAACACAUUUACUCUAGUGUGAACAGGAUUUCCCCCUAGCAUAAGAUCUUGCAUUCCUGUGGGCUGAAAUGAGCUACUCACUGUCCUACACAGCAUCUUUGAGGGCCACUUGGAAUAUUUAUGCAACUGCUUAAAAGGAUUAUGAACAUACAUGAAUGAGUUAAUCACCAUUUACGACAAAAUUCCACCUAAGCUUUUGAAAACCAACAGGAAUAUUUUCAUUUCCAUCAUCCAGGUCCUUAUUUUGUAGAAAAUGGUUUAAGAUGGUUCUUAUAGAGGCACAGUAGUACCCAAAUUUUGUGUGUAUUUAAGGCCCUGUGUUGCCUUGUGCUGGAGUAAUACCUUGGCCAGAUAAAUGAAUGUAUUUAUUUGAAAAGCUGAGAAGUGCCCAAGUCAUAUUUUUGGCCCAGAAAAAGAUUAAAGUAUAUUUUUCAUGUGGCUGAUCAUACUUCCAAAAAAAUUAUUAUUUUUGUAAAGGAAAAAAAUGUUUUGUCUUAACUGCAGUAAAAUAUUCUCUGAUAA
Long non-coding RNA from Vidua macroura (Pin-tailed whydah), 2126 nucleotides. RefSeq lists it as uncharacterized. The record is from RefSeq and is a predicted model, not a curated record. The transcript is spliced from 2 exons. NCBI's taxonomy places the organism in Eukaryota, Metazoa, Chordata, Aves, Passeriformes, Viduidae.